UUGAGUGAACAAACUUCAACAAGCCUUAACCAAACUCCUUCAUCUGUUAUCCCCAAGCAUUCUGAUGAUUCGCAACCAAGAAGAGCAAUGCCAGCAACACUUUUUGUUAAUAUUUCCAAAGAAGAAUCCUCAAAGAUUGUUGAAGUAAGAGCCGAAGAUGGUGCUUCAAUAUUAGAGACCCCACAUCCAAGUUCCUUAACUUCUAAAAAGG
This is a long non-coding RNA of Neltuma alba, 211 nucleotides long. RefSeq lists it as uncharacterized. The record is from RefSeq and is a predicted model, not a curated record. Lineage: Eukaryota; Viridiplantae; Streptophyta; Magnoliopsida; Fabales; Fabaceae. The transcript is spliced from 3 exons.